AAAUUGAAGAGUUUGAUCAUGGCUCAGAUUGAACGCUGGCGGCAGGCCUAACACAUGCAAGUCGAACGGUAACAGGAAGCAGCUUGCUGUUUCGCUGACGAGUGGCGGACGGGUGAGUAAUGUCUGGGAAACUGCCUGAUGGAGGGGGAUAACUACUGGAAACGGUAGCUAAUACCGCAUAACGUCGCAAGACCAAAGAGGGG
This 203-nucleotide ribosomal RNA is filed under the name Escherichia coli. RNAcentral's name for it is "partial 16S ribosomal RNA". It matches the Rfam family "Bacterial small subunit ribosomal RNA", at positions 1 to 211 of the family's 1533-position model. Lineage: Bacteria; Pseudomonadati; Pseudomonadota; Gammaproteobacteria; Enterobacterales; Enterobacteriaceae. The record is from RNAcentral. RNAcentral also lists the same sequence under 1 other name.